This 273-nucleotide ribosomal RNA is filed under the name uncultured bacterium. RNAcentral describes it as "partial 16S ribosomal RNA". It matches the Rfam family "Bacterial small subunit ribosomal RNA", at positions 82 to 353 of the family's 1533-position model. The record is from RNAcentral.
CUUAAUUGACUUAGCGGCGGACGGGUGAGUAACGCGUGGGUAACCUGCCUUACACUGGGGGAUAACAGUUAGAAAUGACUGCUAAUACCGCAUAAGCGCACAGGGCCGCAUGGUCUGGUGUGAAAAACUCCGGUGGUGUAAGAUGGACCCGCGUCUGAUUAGGUAGUUGGUGGGGUAACGGCCCACCAAGCCGACGAUCAGUAGCCGACCUGAGAGGGUGACCGGCCACAUUGGGACUGAGACACGGCCCAAACUCCUACGGGAGGCAGCAUG